RNAcentral lists this ribosomal RNA (632 nucleotides) under uncultured bacterium. Its description in RNAcentral is "bacterial SSU rRNA". It matches the Rfam family "Bacterial small subunit ribosomal RNA", at positions 853 to 1482 of the family's 1533-position model. The record is from RNAcentral.
UAACGCGUUAAACAUUCCGCCUGGGACUACGGUCGCAAGAUUAAAACUCAAAGGAACUGACGGGGACCCGCACAAGCGGUGGAGCAUGUGGUUUAAUUCGAUGCAACGCGAAAAACCUUACCACUCCUUGACAUGGAAAUUAUACCUAUUCGAAGGGAUAGGGUCGGUUCGGCCGGGUUUCACACAGGUGUUGCAUGGCUGUCGUCAGCUCGUGUCGUGAGAUGUUGGGUUAAGUCCCGCAACGAGCGCAACCCUCAUCCUUAGUUACCAUCAGGUAAUGCUGGGGACUUUAAGGAGACUGCCAGUGAUAAACUGGAGGAAGGUGGGGAUGAUGUCAAGUCAUCAUGGCCCUUAUGGAGUGGGCUACACACGUGCUACAAUGGUGGCUACAAUGGGCUGCAAAGUCGCGAGGCUAAGCCAAUCCCUUAAAAGCCAUCUCAGUUCGGAUUGUACUCUGCAACUCGAGUGCAUGAAGUUGGAAUCGCUAGUAAUCGUGGAUCAGCACGCCACGGUGAAUACGUUCUCGGGUCUUGUACACACUGCCCGUCACGCCAUGGGAAUUGGUUUCACUCGAAGCUAACGACCUAACCGCAAGGAGGGAGUUAUUUAAAGUGGGAUCGGUGACUGGGGUG